UACGAAGGGUGCAAGCGUUAAUCGGAAUUACUGGGCGUAAAGCGUGCGUAGGCGGUUUUUUAAGUCUGCUGUGAAAGCCCUGGGCUCAACCUGGGAAUGGCGGUGGAUACUGAGAAGCUGGAGUACGGUAGAGGAAGGUGGAAUUCCCGGUGUAGCGGUGAAAUGCGUAGAGAUCAGGCGGAACACCCGUGGCGAAGGCGGCCAGCUGGGCCGUCCCUGACGCUGAGGCGCGAAGGCGUGGGGAGCGAACGGG
RNAcentral lists this ribosomal RNA (253 nucleotides) under uncultured bacterium. Its description in RNAcentral is "partial 16S ribosomal RNA". It matches the Rfam family "Bacterial small subunit ribosomal RNA", at positions 524 to 776 of the family's 1533-position model. The record is from RNAcentral.